This 478-nucleotide ribosomal RNA is filed under the name uncultured bacterium. Its description in RNAcentral is "partial 16S ribosomal RNA". It matches the Rfam family "Bacterial small subunit ribosomal RNA", at positions 28 to 507 of the family's 1533-position model. The record is from RNAcentral.
GACGAACGCUGGCGGCGUGCUUAACACAUGCAAGUCGAACGGGCUGCCUGGUUUUCGGAUCGGGUGGUGAGUGGCGAACGGGUGAGUAACACGUGAGUAACCUGCCCCUCUCUUUGGGAUAACGUCGGGAAAUCGGCGCUAAUACCGGGUAUUCUGGCUUCCUCGCAUGGGGUUGUUGGGAAAGGUUUUUUCUGGUGGGGGAUGGGCUCGCGGCCUAUCAGCUUGUUGGUGGGGUGAUGGCCUACCAAGGCGGUGACGGGUAGCCGGCCUGAGAGGGUGUCCGGCCACACUGGGACUGAGACACGGCCCAGACUCCUACGGGAGGCAGCUGUGGGGAAUAUUGCACAAUGGGCGGAAGCCUGAUGCAGCGACGCCGCGUGGGGGAUGACGGCCUUCGGGUUGUAAACCUCUUUCAGUGCAGAACAAGGCUCUUUGUGGGUUGAGGGUAUGCGCAGAAGAAGCGCCGGCUAACUACGUG